CUCUAUGAUGGGGAUAACAGUUGGAAACGACUGCUAAUACCGAAUACGCUCAUGAUGAACUUUGUGAGGAAAGGUGGCCUCUGCUUGCAAGCUAUCGCAUAGAGAUGAGUCCGCGUCCCAUUAGCUAGUUGGUGGGGUAACAGCCUACCAAGGCAACGAUGGGUAGCCGAUCUGAGAGGAUGAUCGGCCACACUGGAACUGAAACACGGUCCAGACUCCUACGGGAGGCAGCAGUGGGGAAUAUUGCGCAAUGGGCGAAAGCCUGACGCAGCGACGCCGCGUGAGGGAUGAAGGUCUUCGGAUCGUAAACCUCUGUCAGAAGGGAAGAAACUAGGGUGCUCUAAUCAUCAUCCUACUGACGGUACCUUCAAAGGAAGCACCGGCUAACUCCGUGCCAGCAGCCGCGGUAAUACGGAGGGUGCAAGCGUUAAUCGGAAUCACUGGGCGUAAAGCGCACGUAGGCUGUUAUGUAAGUCAGGGGUGAAAUCCCACGGCUCAACCGUGGAACUGCCCUUGAUACUGCACGACUUGAAUC
Molecule: ribosomal RNA, 535 nt
Filed under: uncultured bacterium
Lineage: Bacteria
Description: bacterial SSU rRNA
Rfam family: Bacterial small subunit ribosomal RNA
Source: RNAcentral